GCCAGACUCCUACGGGAGGCAGCAGUGGGGAAUAUUGCACAAUGGGCGCAAGCCUGAUGCAGCCAUGCCGCGUGUGUGAAGAAGGCCUUCGGGUUGUAAAGCACUUUCAGCGGGGAGGAAGGCGUUAAGGUUAAUAACCUUGGCGAUUGACGUUACCCGCAGAAGAAGCACCGGCUAACUCCGUGCCAGCAGCCGCGGUAAUACGGAGGGUGCAAGCGUUAAUCGGAAUUACUGGGCGUAAAGCGCACGCAGGCGGUCUGUCAAGUCGGAUGUGAAAUCCCCGGGCUCAACCUGGGAACUGCAUUCGAAACUGGCAGGCUAGAGUCUUGUAGAGGGGGGUAGAAUUCCAGGUGUAGCGGUGAAAUGCGUAGAGAUCUGGAGGAAUACCGGUGGCGAAGGCGGCCCCCUGGGACGCAACUGACGCUCAUACACGAAAGCGUGGGGAGCAAACAGGAUUAGAUACCCCGGUA
This 470-nucleotide ribosomal RNA is filed under the name uncultured bacterium. RNAcentral describes it as "bacterial SSU rRNA". It matches the Rfam family "Bacterial small subunit ribosomal RNA", at positions 330 to 792 of the family's 1533-position model. The record is from RNAcentral.